AACCUGAAGCAGUUUCCAGUAUUGGAUUGCAAAGAUGGCCUUUGCUGCAUCUCCUUGAGCAAGGAAAGCCAAGAAACCUUUGCUUUGGAAGGAGAAAAUCUGGAAAGCGGGAAGGAAGAAAAGAAGCCCCCUGACUCCUCCCUGAGCCCCAGACAGCCCAUGAACUGCCUUCCUGGGAAUGGUAGGACAGGGUGGACUCUGGAUUGCUCCCUCUGCAUGUGUGUGGGAUGUAGCCUGGAAACUGCACAGAGCUGAGCCAAGGGAUUGAAAGGGACCAACAAAGGGAGGUGAAGAAAGAAUUAAAGUGAGGCAGCAGCCAAGCAGCAGCAAGUUGCUGUGUAAGCAGGCCAGGCCAAAGCCCUGAUCCAGCCCAGCUCUGCCAAGUGCCCUGGGCUGGGAGCAGCCAAAGGCAAGAGGCUGCAGCCCCGCCGGCCGGGCUGGGGGCUCCUGGUGCUGCCCGUGGGGUGGGGUAUGCCCAGGACGCUGCCAAUGCCCAGGGAUCUGCUCUGGGUCCAGGCUGUCCGUGCUGGAGGGCCCUGGUGGCUGCAGUCCCUGAGCCCGCAGAGACAGAGAGAGCC
Molecule: long non-coding RNA, 578 nt
Organism: Pseudopipra pipra
Lineage: Eukaryota; Metazoa; Chordata; Aves; Passeriformes; Pipridae
Exons: 4
Source: RefSeq, a predicted model, not a curated record